CGUGUACAGACUGUAAUAUGAUAAUAUACUUUCCAUAAUCUCUAUAUGGUAUCAGAGCAAACGCUCCUAACCAAAACCUAAAAAUUCUUUCACGCCUCCAUCACCAUGAGUUCUUCAAACACCACAAAUGAAGUCAUCUCCCUCAACAAUACCAACUCCUUGCUGAACAUCAACAUGUCCAACGUUACUAAACUCACAAGCACCAACUACUUGAUGU
This 217-nucleotide long non-coding RNA is filed under the name Brassica rapa (field mustard). RNAcentral describes it as "long non-coding RNA (BRAP_LNC007655)". Lineage: Eukaryota; Viridiplantae; Streptophyta; Magnoliopsida; Brassicales; Brassicaceae. The record is from RNAcentral.